AAAAAAACUACUUCAAUCUUCAAAAAAGGCGAUGAAAUAAAUAUAUUACGCCAUUCUAACCACCUAAAUAAAAGGAAGAUUGGUGGUACUGUGGACUCCUCUGAUCGAAAAAAAAGCUUUGGAUCUGACCAGCGCGAAGCAAUAUCAGCGGGCCCAGCUUGGAAGAAAGGCAAGAAAACCUAACCAAAACCGCUCGUCACAAUCGGCAGCUCAACCGAUUUAGACACUGAGAGCUUAGACGAAAUCAAUUUGAAUACAACGACCGACGAAACGCAAUC
Molecule: long non-coding RNA, 278 nt
Organism: Rhagoletis zephyria (snowberry fruit fly)
Lineage: Eukaryota; Metazoa; Arthropoda; Insecta; Diptera; Tephritidae
Source: RefSeq, a predicted model, not a curated record